CAACAGGGAUUACCUCAGUAACGGCGAGUGAAGCGGUAACAGCUCAAAUUUGAAAUCUGGCUCUUUCAGAGUCCGAGUUGUAAUUUGUAGAAGAUGCUUUGGGUGUGGCUCCGGUCUAAGUUCCUUGGAACAGGACGUCAUAGAGGGUGAGAAUCCCGUAUGUGACUGGCUGCCUUCGCCUAUGUAAAGCUCUUUCGACGAGUCGAGUUGUUUGGGAAUGCAGCUCUAAAUGGGAGGUAUAUUUCUUCUAAAGCUAAAUAUUGGCCAGAGACCGAUAGCGCACAAGUAGAGUGAUCGAAAGAUGAAAAGCACUUUGGAAAGAGAGUUAAACAGUACGUGAAAUUGUUGAAAGGGAAGCGCUUGCAACCAGACUUGCCUGCCGUCGAUCAUCCUGGGUUCUCCCUGGUGCACUCGGCGGUGGUCAGGCCAGCAUCGGUUUCGGUGGUGGGAUAAAGGCCUUGGGAAUGUGACUCCUCUCGGGGAGUGUUAUAGCCCUCGGUGCAAUGCCGCCUACCGGGACCGAGGACCGCGCUUCGGCUAGGAUGCUGGCGUAAUGGUUGUAAGCGACCCGUCUUGAAACACGGACCAAGGAGUCUAACAUCUAUGCGAGUGUUUGGGUGUUAAACCCAUACGCGUAAUUAACGUGAACGGAGGUGAGAACCCUUUAGGGUGCAUCAUCGACCGAUCCUGAUGUCUUCGGAUGGAUUUGAGUAAGAGCAUAGCUGUUGGGACCCGAAAGAUGGUGAACUAUGCCUAAAUAGGGUGAAGCCAGAGGAAACUCUGGUGGAGGCUCGCAGCGGUUCUGACGUGCAAAUCGAUCGUCAAAUUUGGGUAUAGGGGCGAAAGACUAAUCGAACCAUCUAGUAGCUGGUUCCUGC
Molecule: ribosomal RNA, 878 nt
Filed under: Hymenoscyphus scutuloides
Lineage: Eukaryota; Fungi; Ascomycota; Leotiomycetes; Helotiales; Helotiaceae
Description: eukaryotic LSU rRNA
Rfam family: Eukaryotic large subunit ribosomal RNA
Source: RNAcentral